Molecule: unclassified non-coding RNA, 356 nt
Filed under: soil metagenome
Description: partial contains 5.8S ribosomal RNA, internal transcribed spacer 2, and large subunit ribosomal RNA
Rfam family: 5.8S ribosomal RNA (bases 2-119)
Source: RNAcentral
GUGAAGAACGUAGCGAAAUGCGAUAAGUAAUGUGAAUUGCAGAAUUCAGUGAAUCAUCGAAUCUUUGAACGCACAUUGCGCCCGUUAGCAUUCUAGCGGGCAUGCCUGUCCGAGCGUCAUUUCAACCCUCAGGGUCCCCGUUCCGGCGGGGAACCUGGUGUUGGGGAUCGGCCCGCCCCGUGCGGCGCCGUCCCCCAAAUUCAGUGGCGGUCUCGCUGCAGCCUCCCCUGCGUAGUAGUUACAACCUCGCAUCGGAGCUCAGCGCGGCCACGCCGUAAAACCCCCGACUUUCUGAACGUUGACCUCGGAUCAGGUAGGAAUACCCGCUGAACUUAAGCAUAUCAAUAAGCGGAGGA